RNAcentral lists this ribosomal RNA (462 nucleotides) under uncultured bacterium. RNAcentral's name for it is "partial 16S ribosomal RNA". It matches the Rfam family "Bacterial small subunit ribosomal RNA", at positions 36 to 507 of the family's 1533-position model. The record is from RNAcentral.
UCCUCCCUCUUUCUUCGUGCUUAACACAUGCAAGUCGAACGGAAAGGCCCUUCGGGGUACUCGAGUGGCGAACGGGUGAGUAACACGUGGGUGAUCUGCCCUGCACUUUGGGAUAAGCCUGGGAAACUGGGUCUAAUACCGAAUAUGAUCAUCGGCUUCAUGGUCGGUGGUGGAAAGCUUUUGCGGUGUGGGAUGGGCCCGCGGCCUAUCAGCUUGUUGGUGGGGUAAUGGCCUACCAAGGCGACGACGGGUAGCCGGCCUGAGAGGGUGACCGGCCACACUGGGACUGAGAUACGGCCCAGACUCCUACGGGAGGCAGCAGUGGGGAAUAUUGCACAAUGGGCGCAAGCCUGAUGCAGCGACGCCGCGUGAGGGAUGACGGCCUUCGGGUUGUAAACCUCUUUCAGCACAGACGAAGCGCAAGUGACGGUAUGUGCAGAAGAAGGACCGGCCAACUACGUG